GAUGAAGAACGUAGCGAAAUGCGAUAAGUAAUGUGAAUUGCAGAAUUCAGUGAAUCAUCGAAUCUUUGAACGCACAUUGCGCCCCCUGGUAUUCCGGGGGCAUGCCUGUUCGAGCGUCAUUUCACCACUCAAGCCUCGCUUGGUAUUGGGCAACGCGGUCCGCCGCGUGCCUCAAAUCGUCCGGCUGGGUCUUCUGUCCCCUAAGCGUUGUGGAAACUAUUCGCUAAAGGGUGUUCGGGAGGCUACGCCGUAAAACAACCCCAUUUCUAAGGUUGACCUCGGAUCAGGUAGGGAUACCCGCUGAACUUAAGCAUAUCAAUAAGCGGAGGA
Molecule: unclassified non-coding RNA, 330 nt
Filed under: soil metagenome
Description: partial contains 5.8S ribosomal RNA, internal transcribed spacer 2, and large subunit ribosomal RNA
Rfam family: 5.8S ribosomal RNA (bases 1-119)
Source: RNAcentral